RNAcentral lists this ribosomal RNA (253 nucleotides) under uncultured bacterium. Its description in RNAcentral is "partial 16S ribosomal RNA". It matches the Rfam family "Bacterial small subunit ribosomal RNA", at positions 524 to 776 of the family's 1533-position model. The record is from RNAcentral.
UACAGAGGGUGCGAGCGUUGUUCGGAAUUAUUGGGCGUAAAGGGCGCGUAGGCGGUGCGGUAAGUCACCUGUGAAAUCUCCUGGCUCAACUGGGAGCUUGCAGGCGAAACUGCCGUGCUGGAGUGUGGGAGAGGUGCGUGGAAUUCCUGGUGUAGCGGUGAAAUGCGCAGAUAUCAGGAAGAACACCCGUGGCGAAGGCGGCUCUCUGGGACGGUACUGACGCUGAGACGCGAAAGCGUGGGGAGCGAACAGG